This 68-nucleotide transfer RNA is filed under the name Elephantulus myurus (eastern rock elephant shrew). RNAcentral describes it as "tRNA-Phe". It matches the Rfam family "tRNA". Rfam says of the family: Transfer RNA (tRNA) molecules are approximately 80 nucleotides in length. Their secondary structure includes four short double-helical elements and three loops (D, anti-codon, and T loops). Further hydrogen bonds mediate the characteristic L-shaped molecular structure. tRNAs have two regions of fundamental functional importance: the anti-codon, which is responsible for specific mRNA codon recognition, and the 3' end, to which the tRNAs corresponding amino acid is attached (by aminoacyl-tRNA synthetases). tRNAs cope with the degeneracy of the genetic code in two manners: having more than one tRNA (with a specific anti-codon) for a particular amino acid; and 'wobble' base-pairing, i.e. permitting non-standard base-pairing at the 3rd anti-codon position. Lineage: Eukaryota; Metazoa; Chordata; Mammalia; Macroscelidea; Macroscelididae. The record is from RNAcentral. RNAcentral also lists the same sequence under 1 other name.
GUUAAUGUAGCUUAAUAUAAAGCAAGGCACUGAAAAUGCCUAGAUGGGUUCAUAGAAUCCCAUAAACA